GACGAACGCUGGCGGCGUGCUUAACACAUGCAAGUCGAACGGAAAGGCCCUGCUUUUGUGGGGUGCUCGAGUGGCGAACGGGUGAGUAACACGUGAGUAACCUGCCCUUGACUUUGGGAUAACUUCAGGAAACUGGGGCUAAUACCGGAUAGGAGCUCCUGCUGCAUGGUGGGGGUUGGAAAGUUUCGGCGGUUGGGGAUGGACUCGCGGCUUAUCAGCUUGUUGGUGGGGUAGUGGCUUACCAAGGCUUUGACGGGUAGCCGGCCUGAGAGGGUGACCGGCCACAUUGGGACUGAGAUACGGCCCAGACUCCUACGGGAGGCAGCAGUGGGGAACAUUGCACAACGGGCGGAAGCCUGAGGAAGCAACGCCGCGUGCGGGAUAACGGCCUUCGGGUUGUAAACCGCUUUCGCCUGUGACGAAGCGGGAGUGACGGUAAUGGGUAAAGAAGCACCGGCUAACUACGUG
RNAcentral lists this ribosomal RNA (468 nucleotides) under uncultured bacterium. Its description in RNAcentral is "partial 16S ribosomal RNA". It matches the Rfam family "Bacterial small subunit ribosomal RNA", at positions 28 to 507 of the family's 1533-position model. The record is from RNAcentral.